AAAAAGAAAACGAAGGAAUGAGAGUAAGAGAGAGCAGGUGACUAUACCUCUAUGUUCUGUAUGAGCUGCAGUUGUGGAGGAAAAGUAGAAGGAUUUGGGCUGACACCUUCUUUGGAUCUUCGGAUCAAAAUAUUUGAAAGGCAAGUUUCCCGAUCGAUGGCAGCUGCAGUUGGAAGAGAAGAAGGAGAGGAAGAUGAGCAGGGGAGGAAGAAGAGGCUGUGGCCGUGGCUGAGGCUGCGACUGCAGCAGUGCAGCUGGGAAAGAAGAGAAGGAAAGGAAGAAGAAGAGAAAGGAAAAGGGAAGAAGAGAGGAAGAGAGAAGGGGAGGCAGCUGUGGCAGUGGCAGCUGCAGCUGGAAGGAGAGGAAAUAGAGCAGGGGAGGAAGAAGAGGUUGCGGUUGUGGUGGCUGCGGCCAUGGCUGCGACUGCGACAGUUGCAGCUGGGAAAGAAAGGAAAGGAAAGGGGGAAAAAGGGGCUGCGGACGGGAUUGCGGCCGCAGCGGCAGAGACUGCGUAUGCAGCAGCGGCAGCGGCGGUGGUUGUGAUAGCUGCGUUUGAAAAAAGAAAACGAAGGAAUGAGAGUAAAAGAGAGCAGGUGACUAUGCCUCUAUGUUCUACAUGAGCUACAGUUGUGGAGGAAAAGUAGAAGGAUUUUGGCUGACACCUUCUUUGGAUCUACGGAUCAAAAUAUUUGAAAGGCAAGUUUCCCGAUCGUUUCUCCUGUUAUUCUUCUAAUCUUUCCUAUUGCAAGUGUCCUGAUCUUUCCUUACUGCAAUUUUAUCUCUAUAUUUGCUUUGAAUAUGAGGAACAUUGAAUUGUUCUAGCCUUGUAUUUGAUAUAUCUCAUGUUUAGACGUAACGAUUCCAAUCUGUGCAACUCCUGAGAUUCUGACCUUUCUACCUUGUUAUGGUUAUAACUUCACGUAUUGACCUCUGAUUUGGACAAAACUUAUUUGAUCAGAAUAUAGACUCAUAAACCUUUCUUUUGAUAGCUUAAUUUAAGAAUUCAGAGUAAGUUUGUCUGCCCAAACUUCUGUUUCAAAUGAUCCUACAGAUUCUGCAAAGUAGGGAUCGUAAUUUCUGACCUUUUUAUACUGAUCUGCCUAUAAGUCGAUGUUGGAAACUCCGAUUUGUUCAAAGCUUAUUUCAUUGGAAACUAGACUCGUAGAUCUUUCUUUGAUACCUGGAUUGAAAGAUUUAGAAUCCAAAUACCUGCCCAGUUUUCUGUUGAAUCCGACCCUGUGAAUUCUGUAAAAUUGAGAUUUGUUCUUUGAUCUUGGGUUACUAAAUCUAUUGUAACUCUUUGUUGGAAACUUCGAUUCAUACGAGACUUAUUCUAUCUUAAAGUAAAUUGAAAUAUCUUUUCAAUGAUACAUUUCUGAGUAAAUUGGAGCACGAUUGAUAGUGUAAAUCAUUUGUUCAAUGUGCCUCUUGAAUUCUACCAAAAAUCGAGCUUUGGUCGAUUUAGCAUAUUUUGGUUUCAUUCCUUUGGAAAUUGAUAUCCUUUAGCUUUCUUAUUCAAUUGAGCUUUAUAUUACUACUUUGAAUUCUUGUAUGCUCUUGUCCUUAAAGUUAUUUGCAUUCUUGAAAACUAUUGUGUAACGUUUAUGCUAUAUCGUAUUGACUCAUAUAGGCACAUGUAUAUCCCAUUGUUCCGCAUUUGCAUUCGAUAUGUGCCUAUUAUAGUUUCAUUCAUUUGAACAUUGAAUUCAUCUAACCUUCUUAUUUGAAUUGAGUUAUAUGUGAUUGCUUGGAAUCCUUGAAUGCUCUUGCUUUCAUUUCCUUUUAAAUUUGAAUACAAUUGUGAAAGAUUAUUGCUUACUUCGCAUUGACUCGUAAAGGCACAUGUACGUUUUGUUGUUCUGCGUGUGCUUCCGAUAUGUGCUAUUCAUUGUUCAUACUAUCCUUUUGUACUCUGGUGUUUGUGGGAUAUUGUGAACCUUCGCUAGAAAUGGUGAAGGGAGUUAUGCAUAGAGCCUGAGAUGCUCUGCCGGCCCCUAUGACUUCACUCAGACGUGGGUGGAUGGAACUCCCAAACGUGGGAGACUUAUGUUUGGUGGUCAUUUAGAAAUGGAUGUACCAUAUUAUGUUAUGGUCCCACUUCACCUUCUGUAUGUUUGAUAUGGUAUCCAGAGCUUUGGAUAUGAAUGAUAUGAAUGCAACGUCAAAUUCGACGUUUGAGCUUCUGUUUCGUCUUCGUUAUUGAUAUGCUCCGAAAUGGUCUAUAUGCCAUUGAUAUGUUUCGAAAUAUCCCAUUUGUUAUUGAUAAGCUCCGAAACAUUUCAUACGUUUUUGAUAUGCUCCGAAAUGUUUCAUUUGCUAUUGUUAUGCUUCGAAAUGUUCCAUAUGUUGUUGAUAUGCUCCGGAACAUUUCAUACGCUAUUGAUAUGCUCCAAUUACUCUAUGCUCCAUUUGUUAUGAACCAAAUAUGUUAUGAAUGAAAUGACAUUUGUGAUUCUGUAUCUAAUGAGAUGAUAUCCUUGAAUCUCUUGGAUUCUGUCUUGCAUUGUGAUAUCUUGUUUGUUUGAAACUGUCCCUUCUCAUGCUAUAUAUGCUUUGUUACUUGCUGAGCUGUUUUUAGCUCACUCCGUUGUUAUAUAAAUUUUUCAGGUCAGCUUGUCACUCUUUGAGAUGUUUGAAUUGGGCUGAGGCAGUGGAGAGCUAUUUUGAAUUAUGGGCAAG
Molecule: long non-coding RNA, 2679 nt
Filed under: Musa acuminata (dwarf banana)
Lineage: Eukaryota; Viridiplantae; Streptophyta; Magnoliopsida; Zingiberales; Musaceae
Description: long non-coding RNA (MACU_LNC009258)
Source: RNAcentral